AUCACUGAUGUCGAGUUUCUCUAAAUGCUGAAGAUCACUUGACGAUGAGGGUAAUGAUAGUAGAGAAUAGCAUUUAGAAAUAUUCAGAACACGCAAGUUUUGAAGGCUCCCAAUGGAUUCAGGUAAUGUCACCAAAGAUCUUAGAUUUGAUAGGUUUAAGUCAUGCAGGUUUUUGAGAUCACAUAACGAUGAGGGUAAUGAUUCUAGAGAAUAGCAUUCAGAAACGUUCAGAAUACGCAAGUUUUGAAGGCUCCCAAUAGAUUCAGGUAAUGUCACCAAAGAUUUUAGACACGAUAGGUUUAAGUCAUGCAGGUUUUUGAGAUCACAUAACGAUGAGGGUAAUGAUUUUAGAGAAAAGCUGUUCGAAAGGUCCAGAAUACGCAAGUUUUGAAGGCUCCCAAUGGAUUCAGGUAAUGUCACCAAAGAAUUUAGACACGAUAGGUUUAAGUUACACAGGUUUUUGAGAGCACAUAAUGAUGAGGGUAACCAUUUUAGACAACAGCACCUAGAAAGGUUCAGAACACGCAAGUUUUGAAGGCUCCCAAUGGAUUCAGGUAAUGCCACCAAAGAGUCUAUAUUUGACAGGUCUAGGUAAUGCAGGUUUUUGAGGUGACAUAUAGGUUCAAGUGAUAUCACAUUUUCGCACAAACUCAAAUUUAGUGCGUACAAAUUCUGAAGGUUGCUAAUGGAGGUCAGAGAUAGGCAACCUCCUAAAUCUAAAAUCCGCAAAUUCGUAAGCCUUCCUAGAAAUUUGGGUAGUGUACGGAUCUUGCGGCAGCUUGAAAGAUUCAAGGUUUGCAAGUUGCAGAGGCCGGUAAUUGAUUUAGGCAAUUUUUCUAUAUCGGUCCCCGAAAGGUCGAGGUAUCUUAAGAGCUUCAACUUACCGAUUGAGCUUGGCAGCAUAGAAAUUUUGGAAUCACAUAAUUCCAACAAGCGUAAGCAUUUUGCCUCGCUAUAAAAGGCCAUAAUAAGUGAACUAGAUUCCCUAAACUGAAGAGCUCGCAACCUCCGCUUUACGGUAAUUGAAACAUCUGGCGUGCAACAACUGUGUAUCGAGACAUAGCGGCAGCCUUCCGUGAUCCUUAUCGACUCUUCUCCACCUAUAACAGCAACUUCUUCUUUUGCCACACCUAUAACAGCAACUUCUUCUUUUGCCACAGAUUGUGCGAGGUCGUGCACUAAAUCAUGCAUACGGCAGAUGGUAACAUUUCUAUAAUUUUUCCCCACGUCUUGAAGAAAAGACAUCCAUAAUAAAUUGUUAAAGUACUUAUUCCCAAUAUCUUCCAUCGAAGUCCAUGUUUCUUGCGAUGAAAUGAAGCCUAAAGCAAUCCAUUGCCGGAUCAAGUCAUCCUUGUUAAUCUUGUAGUCCUUGGGGAAUAUGGAGCAGUAAGCAAAGCACUGCUUCAAAGCCGACGGCAUCUGAAUAUAGCUCAAUUUUAAUGAUGGUAAAAUAAUUCUUUCUUCCGACCUCGAUAUUUCGCUUUCUUCCGACCUCCAUAUUUCACUAUCUCUAAUAGCGGACCAUGCAUCCUCUGUCCUGCUCUUAAAGCGCAUCAUACUUCCUAAAGCAUUCGCUGCUAAAGGCAAGCCACCACACUUCUUAACUAUCUGCUUUCCAAUUUCCACCAAAGUCGGAUAGCCGUUCUCUUCCCCUUCCUUGAAUGCCAGCCUUUUGAACAAUGUCCAACAAUCAUCAUCCGAUAAGCCUUUCACACGGUGUGGUUCGACUGUUCCCAUUAUCUCGGCAACCUUUUCGCUUCGUGUGGUUACUAAGAUUUUACUUCCCUGCCUGCCGUCCUUAAAUACAACCUUCAAACCAUUCAAACCAUUCCACUUCUGCUGAUCUUCGUUCCAUACAUCAUCCAACACCAGCAAGAAUCUCUUCUGGCUAAAGAUCCUGUCGAGAAAACUCGAGGCGGAUUCCAAGGUGUCAAGAUUGCACUCCUCUUUGGUUUCGGUUGCGGAUUUGACCGACCUUGCAAUCGUCUUUCUGUCGAAAUCGGUAGACACGCAGAUCCACACCCGUAGAUCGAAGGGCUGCUGGCCCGUAACCCGCCCGUCGGCGAAGGCCAGCCGAGCGAGCGUCGUCUUCCCCAAACCCCCCAAUCCCACGAUCGGAAUGACCGACACGUUGUGAUCGCAGCCCGUCUCCAGCAGUAGCUUCACAAUUUUCUCUUUAUCAUCAUCUCUCCCAACUAUUUCCUUUUCAUCGAAGAGCGAGGAUGUCUCACGGGGCUUGAACUCAGCCUGCCGACCAGGGCCAGCUUCGGCAAGACCGAAAUCAUUUCUUUGUUUCGCUAUCUUACCAAUCUUUUCUCUGAGCUCUUUCAUCCUGUGUGCCAUCUCGCGCUUAAACUUCAGAUGCAUCGGAUUAGCGCGGGACAGAAAUCCACGUACCUUUUCAGCUUCCGUCCGGAUCUCGUCCAGCAGGUCGUCGGCGUCGUAGGCGGCGUCCUUCAGUUNCAGAUUGUGCGAGGUCGUGCACUAAAUCAUGCAUCCGACAGGUGGUAACCUUUCUAUAAUUUUCCUUCACGUCUUGAAGGAAAGACAUCCAUAAUAGAUUGUUAAAGUACUGAUUCCCGAUAUCUUCCGUCGAAGUCCAUGUUUCAUGCGAUGAAAUGAAGCCUAAAGCAAUCCAUUGCCGGAUCAAGUCAUCCUUGUCAAUCUCAUAGUCUUUGGGGAAUAUGAAGCAGUAAGCGAAGCACUGCUUCAAAGCCGACGGCAUCUGAAUGUAGCUCAAUUUUAAUGAUGGUAAAAUAGUUCUUUCUUCCAACCUCCAUAUUUCGCUUUCUUCCAACCUCCAUAUUUCACUUUCUUCAAUAGCGGACCAUGCAUCCUCCGUCCUGUUCUUUGAAUACAUCAUACUUCCUAAAGCAUUCGCUGCUAAAGGCACGCCGCCGCACUUCUUUACUAUCUGCUUUCCGAUUGCGACCAAACUUGGAUAGUCGUUCUCUUCCCCAUCAUCGAAUGCCAGCCUUUUGAACAAUGUCCAACAAUCAUCAUCUGAUAAGCCUUUCACACGGUGUGGUUCGACUGUUUUCAUUAUCGCGGCGACCUUUUCGCUUCGUGUGGUCACUAAGAUUUUACUUCCCUGCUUGCUGUCCUUAAAUAAAUCCUUCAGUUUCUCCCACUUUUCCUGAUCUUCGUUCCAUACAUCGUCCAGCACCAGCAAACAUCUGAUCUGGCUAAAGAUCUUGACAAGGCACCUCGCGAUGGUGUCCAUGUUGUCAAGAUCAUCACAAUUCUCGACAAGGCGCCUCGUGACAUCACAUUUCUGUCGAGCUGCAGUUAUCACCCGCUUUCCAAUUGUCUUCGUGUCGAAAUCGGUAGACACGCAGACCCACGCCCGUAGAUCGAAGCGCUGCUGGCCCGUAACCCGCCCGUCGUUGAAGGCCAGCUGAGCGAGCGUCGUCUUCCCCAAACCCCCCAAUCCCACGAUCGGAAUGACCGACACGUCGUGAUCGCCGUUAGUCUCUAGGAGAAGCUUCACAAUUUUCUCCUUAUCACCAUCUCUCCCUACUAUUCUCUUUUCGUUGACGACCGAGUAUGUGUCAGGGCGUUUGAACUCAGCCUUCCGAACAGGGCCAGCUUCGGCAAGACCGAAAUCAUUUCUUUGUUUCGCGAUCUUACCGAUCUUUUCUCUGAGCUCUUUCAUCCUGUGUGCCAUCUUGACCUUAAACUUCAGAUGCAUCGGAUUAGCGCGGGACAGAAAUCCACGUACCUUUUCAGCUUGCGUCCGGAUCUCGUCCAGCAGGUCGUCGGCGUCGCAGGCGGCGUCCUUCAGUUUGCGCAGCCAGUGGCGCAGAGCGUGGCUCUCCUUCCCAGCGCUGCUCCGCUCCUCGGCGUCGAGAAGCACCGCCUGGAUCGCCGAGAAGUUGCUUCUGAGAUCGUCCGCGUCGUCCUUGAAGCUCCGCAGCAGCCCGAUUUCGUCCCAGAGAGCGGAGCCCAGCUUGCCCAGCACUCCUUUGACCAGAUCGAAUGCGAUCCCCUCCGCCAUUGCUAUUACCAAAGCAGCUAGCUAGCUAUGUGCUUCUUCUCAAUACAAACGUCCUAGCAGAGAAUAUAUGGGGAUGAUAGGUGGUUGCUCCAAUUAUCGUGCUGCUGCUCUGGUAACUACGCUUGGGAAUCGUUGACCAUUUGCACGCUAGUCCCACGAUCGUCUUUAAUUAUCCUAUUGUACAGAUUAUAAAAAUACGUGCUGUUGCUGCGGAUGAUAUAUAGGUGGUUGCUCCAAGCAGCUAGCCAUCUCGUCCCUCAAUGGCUCAAUCGUUGACCUUCACUUAUUUCCUCUUCCGGAGGGGAAAAAAAAAAACGCAAUGGAGAUGUUUCAGAUUUCUGAAAGAUGCUUAAAUGGUAUUAUUUAAGAAAUUAAAAAAGCAUGUUAAAAAGUUUUGAAUUUGAAUAAUUUGAAUCCGGAUUCAAAAAGGAAUAGUGAAUCUUAAGUUGAACCCCAAGAAAUUUUAAUUUUCAGAUCCNCUCAAAUGACUUAUUCAUGAACAGUAAUAUGCAAUAAAGAAAAAAGAGAGAGAGAAAUAAUACAUAUUCAUCCGACAUAGAAGGAGAGGAAUCUGCAUUAGCAGCUUCACUUAGACAAUUCGAAAGUUUUAUCCGAUGACUCCAUUUUGCCAUUCUGUAUCGAAAAAAUCUCCUAAUAUCAUCUAUGGUCUUCUCGAAAGAGGAUAAAAGAGGGCCUUAGACCAAGAACAGUCUCUUUCCUUUUAUAUAAAUAAAUAAAAUUAGGAAGAGUUCAGAAAUUUUGGGAUGCUAUUGGCUAUGAUAAUAAUAAAAAGACUCACUUUCUAAAGUUAAGCUUUCUAUCCUCCUUUAGGCUAUCAACGAAGCUUUAAUAACCAAGAGGUCUUGGCUUUUAUUACAUGCAUACCAUUAUUUAUUUGGAGUUUGAUAGUCAUGGCUAGCUUUUAUUACAUGCAUACCACUAUUUUGUAUUUGGGAGGUGAGAGGGGAGCAGUUUUGGAAGAUGAGAAGGUAGUAGUUUUGGGGAUUCAUUUAGUUUUAUUUCUUUUAUUAUGUUAUAUGUAUGGAGUUACAUGCAUAUAUAUUUAUAUUUCAAAACAGUUUUGGAAAAUGAAGAGGUAGUAGUUUUGGGAUUCAUUUAGUUUUAUUUUUUUUUAUAAAACUUUUAUUAUGUUAUAUGCAUGGAGUUACAUGUAUAUAUAUAUUUAUAUUUCAAACCAUCAUUAAAAACUUUUAUUAUGUUAUAUGCAUGGAGUGACAUGCAUAUAUAUAUUUAUAUUUCAAAUCAUCAUUAAAAAAUAUGAAAAAUCUAAAAAAAGAGAGCUUGCCAUGUCAUCAUUCUUAUUGAGGAUUCAUAUAGAGUUAUAGAUAUAUGCAGAGUGGGUUGGAAUGCUUAUGGAAGCACGGAGCCUCCCGUGCUUCCAAAUUGUUUUCGAUGUUCGGACUUUCGAAUCGACGAUCGGCUCCGUUAGAGUGGAUCUAGAUAUUUGAAAUACCUAGAAAAUAAAUUUUGUGAUUUUUCGAUAUCAUUUGCCUAAUGAUCGAAGAGGUUCAAAAUCAAUAAUUUUAAUGGCCUUGGUGAGCUGUUUGCAAGUUUAACGGUCUAGAAAUAUUCAAAUCACAUGAAAUUUUGAUAGAAAAUUUUUUAUACCAUAUAAAACAAGAUCAAUAACUUUGAUCUAAAUUUUUAAUGUCAUAUCAUCACAUUUUGUGAGAUUUUUAUUUUCAGCCGUUGAUUUUGAGCCCCUUCGAUUACUAGACAAAUGAUAUUGAAAAAUCACAAAAUUUAUUUUCUAGGUACUUCAAAUACUCUAGAUCAAGUCUAACGGAGCCGAUCGUCGAUUCGAAAGCCCCAACAUCGAAAACAAUUUAGAAGCACGGAGGCCUCCGUGCUUCCAUAAGCAUACCAGCCGCACUCUAUACAUGCAUAAAUAUAUGUUAAAUAAAGGUAUAUGAUAAGCAUCUAGUUGGCGAAAAAUUCUAAAAUGCAACGGGUAUAUUGGUGACGUGGCAUAACAAACCAAUCAAAUAUCUUUUUUUAGGGGUAUAUGUCCCAUCAUGAUUGUAAAAAAAUAUCUUUAUUGUAUUUUUGUUUGAAAAGAAGGAAUGUGAUUGGCUUGUUAUUGAUAACGUGGUGCAAAUGUGAUAGUGUAGAAUUCCUCAUGACUAGCUUAAUCGGAGAUGACCCUCGUAUAAUUGAAAGGGCGUAGUUAACAGGGUACCUAAGAGUACCCGGAAAGCGUAAACCCAUUUUUAUCUCUGAUGAUUGUUAUCUAUUGUGCUAUAUAUCUCUUUACUCGUUAUUAAAGAAUAUAUAGUUCAAAAAAAAUACAAAAUAAAAUAAGGGGAUAAAAAAAGUUGCGCCGUCAUAAAUUCUCACGUUCACCUUCACGUUUUAUUUAUUUAUUUAUUUAAAUUUUUCGUUUUUCCUAUUGUUCAUUUUUCGGGAAAACAAACGCGAAAUAAUUAUUUUCUCCAAAGACUUAAGCUGAUAAAUAAUUAUGUUUUUACAUUUCCUCACGUCUAAGUUCGACGUGGAGUUGAAUUAGCCGAGAGAAAAAUUAAUUAGGCUAGGAGCCUGGUAUAACUCAACCUUAGAAUUUUCUUAUUUGAUACCGUGUUAAAUUAUAUGAAACAAUAAUUUUCUUCAAAAACGUAAGUUCAUGGGGAAUAAUGUUUUUAUAUUUUUAUGUUUAACAAUCUAGCAUACAUGUAUCAAUGCCCUAUAAGGAUGCUUUGCUGAAUCCUGGACAGGGGCAGACCUACUGAGAGGCCGACAAUGGUCAUGGCCCCCUCAACUUUUUGAAAAUUACACAAGAGUUCCUAACUAUGACAUAGAAAAAACUUAAAUAUUAUAAAUUUUAGGGGCCAAAGUGAAAUCUUUUUGUAAAAAGUUUGUGCUGGUAUAAUAUAAAUAUAUUAUUUAUUCUCUUUAGUAACCGGAAUUAUUUACAAUUUACAAAGUAGGAUACUCUACAGUCACAAUGCAAAAGAAGGAGGAUGCCUUUCAGAUACAAAGCCACCUGCUGAAUUUCGAACUAAAAGUUGUAGAACUUACACAAAAGGAGGAUGCCUUUCAGAGUCUGCAAAGAGCUUAUAGUCUGUUUAUUGUUUUUAUUUGUUGCUACUCCUUUAUUUUGCUUUUUUAUUUUGCUUUGGUUUUUGUUCACUUUUGUUGUCACUUGAAGUAAAUCCUAAUGCAUCCAAGAUGCAUGUUGAUGGCAGCGAGAGAAAUGAAACUCUAGUAGGAUGAUGAAUCAAAACUUCAUGAAGGAGGAAUUUUUUUUUUAGACAUCAAUGUUAUUAAUCAAUUCUCUUCUAUUUAUGCACUCAUUCCAUUUAUGAUUUUGCAGCUUUACUAUUAUGCAGCUUUUCUUAAACUGUGAAGUGUAUGCCCAAUGAUGAUUCUACAUCAAAAGGCAAAUAUGUACGGAUUGCUUGAGACCAAUUUAGAUGCUAGCGUAGAACUAAAAGCAAUCUUAAAUACUACAGUUAUUUAGAAGUUUUAAGAUUGAAACUGUUUCAAUUUUUAACUUAGCUGCUAUUAGUCUAAACUCGUCAUCCAUCGACACCAAUAUCAGGUACAUCAACAGGAGAAGCAACUGCAGCAACAUCUCAAUUUCAAAAAAAAAAAAAAAUAGUAUUAAAGAGUGUCCAAAAUAAGCUGCUAACUCCAAAACUACUCAGAUUGAAGCAAAGAUCCAUCCAAUACUUAAAAUGUUUUUUUUUUAAAAAAAAACACCUAAUUAACUUGAACCAUUUAUUUGAAUAUUUUUGCAUAACACCUGGCUUGAACCAUUCAAUUAAUUUUUCGACGAAACACCUUGCUUUUGAAGCAUACAUAUCCAACAACGCAUUUCACUACAUAAUGCAUCAAUCCAUAACAAACUAUAAAUAUCACGAAUGGAUCCAUGCGAUACAUAAAUGCACUUGGUAGUUCAUACAUAAACAUCUCUUGCUAAUUAAGGCUUUGUCUCCUUUUUUCGCUCCACAAUUAUAUGCAGCCAUGUUUCUUUCUAUCUAUUGAGAGCUCAAAUUUCCUUUAUCUUAAUCAACCAUAUUCGGAUCUAGGUGUGGGGGGGAUGCUCUGUUCUUCACGACGAAGAAAGACCCCCCGCUUUGCAGAGGUCAUAUUGUUGUUGUUGUUGUUGUGUGUCUUAUUUUUGGGGAUAAAAGUGUAUGUAAUAAAUCUGAAAGUUUUGUCAUUUAAAAUUAAUUACCUAAUAUUUAAAAACUUUAAAUUAAUUUUACUCCCUAUUCUUUAAACGCUUUACAAUUUUGUUUUAUCAAAAAUCACUGCCCACACCUGGUGCAUCCAAACAGGUGUGCACCAGGGUUUUAUUCAUCCUUCAUUUUUUUCUUAUUUUAUUCCAGCCAUUUUAAUUUGUAAGUAUAAAAAAUUACAGACUUUGUUUGUGGCACCUGGUGGUUAGAAGCAAUAUUUCUAUAUUUUGAAUGGUCCAAAAACUUAGCUUUAAAGCCCUUUUAAUCUAUCCUCCUCUGAAGCUAUAAAAUUGUGUUUAAUUAUUACUGAAGAAACUAUGCGGUUAUAUUUGUGCGAUACCUUAAUAUUUCAUCCAUAUGUUUGAUUUUCAUAGAAUAUUUUUUCCGAUUGUUACAUUGAAAAUAUAGUAUACACCAAGGAUCAAUUAUGGCAUACUGUAUUUUCUAAAGGAAAAAAAAAAAGAAAAAAAAAGGCAGAGUGCACAUGCACUGGGUAUAUAAUUGGCAAUAAUUUCAUGAAACUCAAAUCAGAAAGAAUAGACAACAAAUCAAAAAAUUUUAAAAAUUUCACGGUUAUAUUUCCAAUAAAAUAAAAUUUAAGUUAAUUUCGUACAAUUUUCCUUUUUGUACUGUUGGUCCCAAAUGUUAGGUACUCGAAAAUGCUUUAUGGCAAUAAUAAUAAUAAUGAUAAUUUAACAUAUUUUGAAGUAAAUAUCUCUUUUAAUUUUCCGGAUUUCCUGAAUAAAAAGUAAAAAUUUAUAUAACUUACCCCAACUGUCAGUUAUUUUAAUAUAAUUAUCUAAUCUUUAAAAAAUUUAAUUUGCUAUAUAAUCUUUUAAUUUAUUUGAUUUAAAUCAAACUAAUGACUCUUUAGUUUUAAAAUUUAAACAUAUUUUUAAUUACGCAGAUAUAAAUUUAUGAAAAUGAAUAAUUAUUCUAAAUUUUAUAUUGAGAAAGAAAUCAAAUCACUUAAAUCAAACAAAUUAAAAUGUGCAACAGCAUAAAUCGAUAUUUCCAUUUAUACCACAUGUUUUGUGAAAACCUAACCGGAAAACAGCUCACUUCCGUUGACUCAGUUUGAUUUUAGUAAUAAAUUGAUUUCGGAUUUGGGGAAUUAAAAACUAAAAAUCUCGCGAAAAGCAAAAUAAUAAAAUUUUAGUACUUCAAUAUAUAUCAGCUUCAGAUCCAAUCAAAUAAAAGAAAGGGCUUUUUUUGCAAAUAGCCCCCUCACAAAUAUUUAUUUUAAAAUUGGUCCUGUCAAAAUUUAAUUUGCAAAAAUGAUCCUGAUCCUGCCACGCAAGCGCCACCUCAGCGCCACGCGGGCGGGGCUGGGCCAGGUGUUUAAGUUAAACACGGUGAAUUAUUCACCGUGUCCAAUACAAAUAGGUAUUUGUAUUAGACACGGUGAAUGAUUCACCGUGUCCAACAUAAAUAGGUAUUUGUAUUGGACACGGUGAAUGGUUCACCGUGUCCAAUACAACUAUUUGGGACUUGGCCAUUUUUUGGCUAAGUAGGUAUUUGUAUUGGACACGGUAAAUGAUUCACCGUGUUCAACAUUGCCCCAACCCCGCCUGCGUGGCGCUGACGUGGCGCCCAUGUGGAAGGGACAAGGCCAUUUUUGCAAUUUAAAUUUUGACAGGGCCAUUUUUGAAAUAAAAUUUUUUCAGGAGGCUAUUUGCAAAAAAAAGCCCUAAAAGAAAUGAUAAAAUAAAAAUAAAAAUGUAUGGAAACCCUCUCAAGUGCAGUAUAUAUAUAUAUAUAUAUAUAUAUAUAGAGUUGAGCUAGAAUACUCUCGAUAGUAAACAGGGUGUUUUACUAUCGAGUUGUUUUCGAUGAUAGAGCUUCCANUCUAACUUUUCGCCAUGUUUAUUAUAUUAAAUCCUUAUAGAAUUCAAAAGGAUACUUUAACCUUUUUGAUAAAAUAUUUUAAAAUUUAAUAAAAAAAUAUUUUUUUAUUUUAUGAAACAUUUUGCACUUCGUUUAACGGAAGAGACUAAAUUCUAAAAGGAUCUAACAAAUCUUCCAAAGAAAAUUUCUUAUAUCAAAAUCGAAUUAAAAUCGAAAUUCAUAAAGCCCAAUUGGCCACUUUCAAAGUGCAGUGUAAUUUAGAUAAUAUAUAAUAUCUUUUUACCUCCGGAUAAUAGCUAGGUACAUAUACUUGUGCUCUCCUCGCUAACCAAUCUUCUUCUCCACCUUCACUGAGCUCUCUUCCUCCUGUGGCGAGCUGCUCGCUUGUUUUUUGUACCAGUAAGAACUACACCACAACAACACAAAAUGGUUAUUUUUUAUCCGACGCUCAUGCAACAUGUGCUGUACAUUUUACUUAGACAUUUUAAUAAUGUAUGAUAUAUAAGAUACCUAAUUUCAAUUUGUAAAGAAAAAUAUCCCAGAAUUCAAAUAGUAUAUCAACAAUAUCACCGAAAAUAAUUACUUUGUAAAUACUAUAUAUCGUUCAAGUAGAAAUUUUCUGGCAUCUCAAAUCGCUACAAAUUAAGAAAAGAUUAGAAUUUCAUUAAUUAGUCUAUGCACAUGCAAGAGACCACUUGAAAAUUUUUCCAGGAAACCAACCAUGUUUUCGAAUAUCUGAAUUGCACUUUUGAUAUUGAAAUGUAGUUUAAUGUGUUUUCAUUUUGCCGCAGUACGUUUUAAAUAGUUUUACUUGAAAAUCCUAUGAUUUUAUAUAUAUAUAUAUAUAUAUAUAUAUAUAUAUAUNUUUUAUUUUGCUUUGGUUUUUGUUCACUUUUGUUGUCACUUGAAGUAAAUCCUAAUGCAUCCAAGAUGCAUGUUGAUGGCAGCGAGAGAAAUGAAGCGAGUAGGAUGAUGACUCAAAACUUCAUGAAGGAGAAAUUUUUUUUAGACAUCAAUGUUAUUAAUCAAUUAAUUCUCUUCUAUUUAUGCACUCAUUCUAUUUAUGAUUUUGCAGCUUUACUAUUAUGCAGCUUUUCUUAAACUGUGAAGUGUAUGCCCAAUGAUGAUUCUCCAUCAAAAGGCAAAUAUGUACGGAUUGCUUGAGACCAAUUUAGAUGCUGAGCUAAAACUAAAAGCAAUCUUAAAUACUAUUAUUAUUUAGAAGUUUUAAGAUUGAAACUGUUUCAAUUUUUAACUUAGCUGCUAUUGGUCUAAACUCAUCAUUCAAAGACACCAGUAGCAUCACCCAGUACAUCAACAAGAGGAGCAACUGUAGUAACAACUCUAUUUCAAAAAAUAAUAUUACAAAGUAUCCAAAACAAGCUGUUUACUUCAAAACUGCUCAGAUUGAAGCAAAGAUCCAUCCAAUACUUAACAAGUAUUUUUUUAAAAAAAACCCUAACUUGAACCAGAAUCUUUUGGCAACACACCUAGCUUAAACCAUUCGAUUAAUUUUUUGGCGAAACACCUAGCUUUUGAAGCAUACGUACACAUUGCACUGUUUAAUGCAUUCAUAACAAACUGCAAAUAUCACUAAUGAAUCCAAACAGUACAGGUAGGAAAGUAUAACCGUUACCAAGUUACCAUACAUAAAUGCACUUGUUAAUUUAUCGUACAUAAAACAUCUCUUGCUAAUUAAGGUUUUAUCACCUUUUUUAUUUUAAAAAAGCCUUUGCUCCACAAUUGUAUGCAGCAAGUUUUUGUUCUAUCUAUUGGAGAGCCAAAAUUUUCUCUCUUAAUCAACUAAAAUCGUAUCUUGGUGCACGGGAUGCCCUGUUCUUUAUGAGAAAGAAAGACCCUCUUUGCAGUGGUCAUGUUGUUGUUGUUGUUGCUGUGUUUUAUUUUUGGGUAUAAAAAUGUACUUAAUUAAUCUGAACUUUCAUAAUUUGAAAUUAAUUAUCUAAUAUUUAAAAAUUUAAAUUAAUUUGACUAUCUAUUCUUUAACGCUUUACGAUUUUGUUUUAUGAAAAAUCACUGCCUACACCUGGUGCAUCCAAACAGGUGUGCACCAAGGUUUUAUUCAUCCUUAAUAUUUUCUCUUUAUUUUAUUUCAUUCAUUUAAUUCGUAAGUAUAAAAAAUUGCAACUAACCCGACUUUCUUUAGGAACGUAGUGGUAAGAAGCAACAUUUUCAUAUUUUGAAAGGUCAAAAAAUUUUAAAGCUGCUUCUAAUCUUUUCUCCUCCGAAGCUAUAAAAUUGUGCUUAAUUGUUAUUAAAGAACUAUGCGGUUAUAUUUAUGCGAUACUUUAAUAUUUUAUCCACAUAUUUAAUUUUUAUAGCAUUUUUUUUUUCCCGGUUGUUAAGCUGAAACUAUAGUAUAAAUCAAGGAUCAAUUAAUAGUAAUAAUAAUAAUAAUAAUAAUAAUAAUAAUAAUAAUAGUUUAACAUAUUUUGAAGUAAAUACCUCUUUUAAUUUUCUAGAUUUCUUGGAUAAAAAAGUNAAUAAUAAUAAUAAUAAUAAUAGUUUAACAUAUUUUGAAGUAAAUACCUCUUUUAAUUUUCUAGAUUUCUUGGAUAAAAAAGUCUAAAUUUAUAUAACUUGCCCCGACUGUCAGUUAUUUUAAUCUGAUUAUCUAAUUUUAAAAAAUUUCAAUUUUGCUACAUAAUCUUUUAAUUUAUUUGAUUUGAAUCAACUAAUGAUUCUUUAGCUUUAAAAUUUUAAAUGUAUUUUUAAUUAUGCAAAUAUAAAUUUAUUAAAAUAAAUAAUUAUUCUAAAUUUUAUAUUAAAAAAGUAAUCAAAUCGCUUAAAUCAAAUAAAUUAAAUUGUGCGGCAACAUAAAUCUAUAUUCCCAUUUAAACCACACGUUUCGUAAAACCAAACGGGAAAAGCACCUCAAGUUUGAUUUUAGUAAUAAAUUGAUUUCAAAUUUGGGGAAUUAAAAACUAAAAAUCUUGCGAAAAGAAAAUUAAUAAAAUUUUAGUACUUCAAAAUAUAUCAUCUUUGGAUCCAAUCAAAUAAAAAAAAUGAUAAAAUUAAAAUAAAAAUGUAUGGAAACUCUCUCAACUGCGGUACAUAUCUAAUAGGUUCAACUUGCAUGCAAAAAGAACCUCUAAUUCAACAAGGGCAUAACAUACACAAUGUAUACAUACUAGUAAUAAACUCAUUUACUAAAAAUUAAUGUACCCUUUAAUAUCCGUAUUAAGAAAUAGCAACAUUUUGUUUAUUCAAACCAAACAAUCUUUUUUAGGCUCAUAACAUGUAUAGAGAACACUAUAAAAUUACAAACAAUCAAACCAAAUUACAAUUCUUGUCCGGAAAGCUAAAUAGCACCAACUUGAAAGAGAAGGCCACAAGUCCAUGAAUAAAAACUCUCACCGGUGCAUGUAGAUAUAUAAAAUUUGUUUUUUUCUGGAAAAAAAAGGGGAAAAAAAAAAGCUCUUCUCAAAGGGAAAUAGUGGUCACCAAAUAAGCUGAAAGAGAAUUAUUUUUAUGUGAGCUAUACUACACUUUGAGAUAAAUAACUGAACUUCAAAAAAUUUAAUUCUACUCUCUAACUUUUCUCCAUGUUUAUUAUAUUAAAUCCUUAUAGAAUGCAAAAGGAUACUUUAACCUUUUUGAUAAAAUAUUUUAAAAUUUAAUAAAAAAAUAUUUUUUUAUUUUAUGAAACAUUCUGCACUUCGUUUAACGGAAGAGUAAAGGAUCUAACAAAUCUUUCAAAGAAAAUUUCUUAUAUAAAAAUCGAAUUAAAAUCGAAAUUCAUAAAGCCCAAUUGGCCACUUUCAAAGUGCAGUGCAAUUUAGAUAAUAUCUAAUAUCUUUUUACCUCCAGAUAANACACACACACACACACACACACACACACACAUAAUAGGUCCAUCUUGCAUGCAUGCAAAAAAGAACCUCUAUUUAAACAAGGGCAUAACAUACACAAUAUACUAGUAAUAAACUCACUUACUAAAAAUUAAUGUACCCUUUAAUAUCCGUAUUAAAAAAGUAGCAACAUUUUGUUUAUUCAAACCAAACAAUCUUUUUUAAGCUCAUAAUUGUGUAGAGAACACCAUAAAAUUACAAACAAUCAAACCAUAUCAUAAAAUAGUACAUUCAGAAAUUUAAUUUAUAUCACGAAAAUACAUAUAUAUAUUAACCGACAAUAGCACACUACAACUCUUGUCCGGCAAGCUAAACAACACCAACCUGAAAGAGAAAACCACAAGUCCAUGAAUAAAAACUCUCACCAUUGCAUGUAGAUAUAUAAAAUUUGUUUAUUUUUGGCAAAACUAAGAAAAAAAAACCUCUUCUCAAAGGGGAAUAGCGGUCACCAAAGAAACUAAAAGAGAAUAAUCCUUACGUGAGCUAUACUACGCUUUGAGAUAAAUAACUGAACUUUAAAAAAUUUAAUUCUACUCUCUAACUUUCCGUCAUGUUUAUUAUGUUCCUUAUAGAAUUCGAAAGAAUACUUAGCAUUUUUUGAUAAAACAUUUUAAAAUUUGAUAAAAAAAUAUUUUUUAUUGUAUGAAAUAUUUUGCACUUUGUUUAAUGGAAGAGACUAAAUUUUAAAAGAAUCUACAAAUCUUUCGAAGAAAAUUUCUUUUAUCAAAAUGAGCAUAUAUAAGGUUUACGAAUUAAAAUCGAAAUUCGUAAAGCCCAGUUGCCCGCUUUCAAAGUGCAGUAUAGUUUAUGUAAUAUUUAAUAUCUUUUUACCUCCAAAUAAUAGGAACAUAUACUUAUGCUCUCCUCGCUAAUCAAUUCGAUCUGCUCCAACAAUUCCUCCAACUCUUCUUCUCCUCCUCUGACGAGCUGCUCACUAUGUCCUCAUAUCGGUAUUCCCUGCACCACAACAACGCAAAAUAGUAAAUUUUUUAUCCGAAGCUCGUGCAGCACGUGCUGUACAUUUUUCUUACACUUUCUAAUAAUGCAUGAUAUAUAAAAUACCUGAUUUCAAUUUGUAAAGAAAAAUAUUCCAGGACUCGAAUAGUGUAUCAACAAUAUGAUAGAAAAUGAUUACUCGGUAAAUACUAUAUAUCUUUUAAGUAGAAAUUUUCGGCAUCUCAAAUCGCUACAAAUUAAGAAAAGAUUAAAAUUUCAUUAUUUAGCCUAUAGACGUGCAAGAGACCGCUUGCAAAUUUUUUCAGGCAACAAACCAUGUUUUCGAAUAUCUUAGCUCCACUUUCACAUAGUUGAUAUUGAAACUGUGCAACAGCAAGCUGCUAUUGUUUCAAUUGUACAAAUUAGUAAAGUUGCAAUUGCUGCAAAAUUUGUGGAAAGAUAAUUCCCUCGUGUAAUCUAUGAACUACUUGUACAAGUAAAAUAUUUUGUUGAAUAGUAAUUUAGCAUAUCAAAACAGGAAGGAAUAAGAACAGGGUAAAACUAAACUUAAAAAUUAGAAUCACUCUGAAUAUAAAUAAAACAAAAUCUCACAAAUACAUAAAUGGAAGGUAGAAAUCAAAAUUAAUUCUCGAGAAAGUGAGGAUUGGAGAUUGUGACUAGCGAAUGGUNUUUUUUAUCCGACGCUCGUGCAACAUGUGCUGGACAUUUUGCUUAGACAUUUUAAUAAUGUAUGAUAUAUAAGAUACCUAAUUUCAAUUUGUAAAGAAAAAUAUCCAAGGACUCGAAAAUAAUUACUUUGUAAAUACUAUAUAUCGUUCAAGUAGAAAUUUUCUGGCAUUUCAAAUCGCUACAAAUUAAGAAAAGAUUAAAAUUUCAUUAAUUAGUCUAUGCACAUGCAAGAGACAACUUGAAAAUUUUUCCACGAAACCAACCAUGUUUUCGAAUAUCUUAAUUGCACUUUUGAUAUUGAAAUGUAGUUUAAUGUGUUUUAAUUUUGCCUCACUACGUUUUAAAUAGUUUUACUUGAAAAUCCUAUGAUUUUAUAUAUUUUUAGCAAGAACUUGCGGUCAAGUAAAAACUAAAGUGCUAAAAUUAUUUAUAAACUAUGGGAUAAUAAAAUGAUAUAUUUUAUAAAAUAAAAGGUGUCCGCCUAUAUCUAAAUAUAUUCUUUCAAAUAGUACUAUUAUGCUUUAUAAAAUAUACUACUUUACUAUCUUAUAAUUUAUAAAUUUUAGUACUUCAAUAUUUUUUGAUAGUAAGUCCUUACGGUGGAAUAAAGACACAACAAUAAAAUAGCAAAGUGAAAUAUUUUAUAGCAAAUGAAAAUGCACCGAGCCACGUCGGGGUGGGGCUAACCGAAGUUUUUCCAUCUGGAUUUAAAAAUAAAAAUUAAAGAAAGAGGUUGAUAUGCUAGCUACAAUAGAAUAUUAAGGUGCUAUCCAGCUAAUUAAUUAAAGAGUAGUCAAAAUAUGCUGCAUAAAUGAAACAAGAAAUAUUCACCAGUAGCUAUUAGAAGGGACUAUUAUUUUUUACUAGAAAUAUAAUAUUUUCUCUUUGAAUAUUCGUAUCUGCUGGCCAUGAAAACUUUCACCAGGUAUCAAUUACAACAAUUUGGAUAAAAGGCCGUGAAGCAAAGAAAAAUUCGGCGAAUUGGGGGUCAGGAGAACCAAAGAAUGCUGAGGCCACAAGGAGAUUGGAAGAAAAAGAAGGCCGUGAAGCGAGUGGUCUGGGCAGAUGAAGUCGGUAGGGAGUUAUUGGUGAGCAAGGUUCCCAUUAAUGGCGGAGUUUCGACGUUACCUGAUACUACAAGUUCCUUGGCUCGAGACGCACUUGAAGGAGUUACUGCUGAGUUACAAAGAGGAUACGGGGUAGGUGAGGGCGAUUCACCUGGCGAUCCUUGGAUGAGAAAUGUAAGGAGGGUGGGUGGAAGGUCCAAUUCUGUAUUUACUGAGGGUAGGUCCUAUAAAGAGGCGCUUCUGAGGGGUUCGGGACCACAACCCUCCAAGCCACCACCAAGUUCACAACACUCUUCCACCUUCUGGAGUACGAGGAGUAGCAAGUCCAGGAGAAGUGGCGGCAAGUGUUUCCGGUGCCUUGCUUCGGAUCACUGGGUAGCUGACUGCCGUGACCCUAUCAAGUGCAUCAGGUGCCACAAGUAUGGGCAUCGCGCCUCUAUCUGCAAGGAGAAAGCCGGACCAACUAGAGACAGGAUGAACAGGAUUCUACAGAGGCGAGAACGUACGCCGAGAGUGUACGUCCCUUAUACUCAAGAGUUUCUGCAAAGGAGGGAUCAACGCCGGAACGCGGUGCUGGCCGAUGUGAUCCAGCCGGCGAACUUAGGCCCUGAACCCACCUCUACCAUUGCCAAUGCGCUCGCCCGAAGGUUCGGGGGCUACACCCAAGACUUUCCGGUCUCCCGUUUUCGGGAGCGAGACUUUGCAAUUUUCCUCCCAGAAUGGGUGUCAGCGGAGGUGAUCGCUAGGAGGGAAAUACUCACCUUGGACGGCUUCUGGCUGCGAUGUUUUGCGUGGGGUCCUUACCGAGACGCGUGCCCACACCGAAUGGUAUAUCGAGCGUGGAUCAGGCUGAUUAACCUCCCAUUUGAAUGCUGGACCGUCCCUCAGGUGGCGGCGAUUGUGUGUGGGUUCGGAAGGUUCGUCAAGGCCGACGAGGUGACGAAGGCGAUGACGGACCUUCGGGCUUUCCGCUGCCAGAUUAUCCUGGACACACUGACCGACAUCCCGCAAAAUCUGUCGAUCGUCCUCGGAGAGGAACGUUUCCCGGUGAUGAUUCAUCUUGAAAGUUGGGAGCGGGCCAUCGACAAAGCUCGCGGUGACCCACCUGGCCCACCACCGGGGGGAAACGGCGAUGGCAACCAACAGGGUGAGGGGGAUCGGCCUGACAUUCAGGCCAACAUCGACCAAGAGAUGAACGAGGAAGCAACUGGUGAGGACGAAGGCGAGAUUGACGAUGACGGACCAGUAACUGCGCCGAGUCGACGUACAUCAAGCGGACUAGAGAAGCCGACAACCCUGUGUUCUCUGCCGUUCCGACGCUCCUCGCUUGGGCUGUUCGGGCCGCCUGCGCCGAGCCGCCGUUUAUCGGGUGGACCAGAGAAGCCAACACCGCAGUAUACUCUGCUGAUUCGGCGCCCCUCGCCUGGGCUGUUCGGGCAGGCGGUGACGACUGAACGGCGAGGGGGGGGAGCGGGCUGAGGUUGAUGAGGUCCGGAGGGGGCAGGCAGAGGUUGACGAGGGCGGAUCUGAGAAUAGGCCGAACCGCCGAUCGUCAGGUGGAUCUGAGGAGUCGCCGCCGCUGCGUUCGCCUGGGCUAGUAGGGCGGGCGGGGAGGCCUGGAACUCCUGUUUGGUCGCGCCAUCCACAGUGUUCUUCGCAAUGCUCCCCGCCUGCUCGGCGACCGCCGGUGAGGGCGCUAGGCUGGCUUCGGGACUGGCGAGUGCGAGGACCGAGGAGGGCCAGUGCAGGGCGCGUCAACCUAGGGCGCCGCCUGGGCGAUGGAUCAUGAAAUCCGGCGCUGUCUCACAGAGGGGAUUCGAAGGGAUGGGUGUAGUUCACUGUAUUCGGGGUCUUUCCCCACCCUUGCCAAAUUUAAUUAUGGCAGGGGUAGGGUCGGAUAGCUAUGAGAUGGGUAGGCCUUUAAUGCUUUGUAGGGGAGAUCAAGUGCUUCUGUGGGUAGGGGGAGCUCUUUUCAAAGUGGUGGUCAGCCCUUCUUUGGGAUUGCGUACCAACCUUGAGAACUGGGCCUCCUCUAUUGGGGUCAACAGGGGUGCAUUGCCAGCUAGUACACCGGGUGUUGGGGUGGCGGCCCACGACUCGAGCCUGGGGCUCGUGGACUGGUUCGUGACGACUGGAGGAGAUCAGAAUGGCCAAAGCUCUGUCCUUGGCGAGUGCACUAAGUCGUUGACUGAGGAAGGGGACGAAGCUGACCAUGCCAAGGAAAAGAGGUCCAACGGCUGGGAAGGGAUCUGGGCCUACUCCGGGAAAGGGUUAACCUCGUCGCCGAAGAAGACUUUAAUCACCCCUACUCGAGCUAGUGAGCGGCUCGCCUGUGCUGACAGGAUCCCUAUCCUUCGCAAAGCUCUAAACAGGAAGAAGCGGCUUCUAGAAGGAGGAGGUGGCAGGGUCUCCGAGAGCACGCUGCGGAAGAUAGUGCAUAAGAGCAAGCGUUGCGGGGUGAGACUGGACGGAACGGAGGCGAUGAACUUCGCCGAGUUUGAGAGCUUCUGAGCUCUGGAAGGGGCUAGUGGUCUAGGUUGUGGACACCUUUUGGUUUUAUUUUGGGAGUCGUGUCUACGUUAUUGUUAUGCUUAGUAUCUGUAGCUGGAAUGUUAGAGGGCUUAAUGAUCCCUCCAAACGCUUUGUGGUGCGGGAUGUAAUUUCGAAUUUACGCAACUCCGUAGUGUGUCUCCAGGAAUCUAAGGUUAAUCAUGUUUCGGGGUCUUUCCUCCGUAGCUUGGCAGGGUCCUUCAUCGACAAAUGUGUUUUUCUUGAAUCUAACGGUGCGUCCGACGGACUGAUUACUUGUUGGAGUUCCCGGGUCUUCAGUUGUAAAGAAGUAAUCGUCAGAAACUAUUCCAUCUCGGUUCUAUUGGAAUUGGUUAGCUGCGGAACACGUUUUUUUGUCACGAAUGUUUAUGGCCCGGCUUCUUGGGACGGCAAGGAGGACUUCUUUUCGGAAUUAUUGCUCUUGAAGGACUGUUGUAAGGGUAAAUGGGUAACGUGUGGGGAUUUUAAUUGUACGCGAGGACCACACGAGCGUAACGGAAAGACCUGGAGCUCGAGAGCGACGGUUUUAUUUAACAAUCUCAUCAGGGACCUCGAAUUAAUUGAUCUCCCCAUGACAAAUCAAGCGUUCACCUGGUCCAACCUUCAGAAGCCCCCGACCUUGGCUAGACUGGACCGAUUUCAUGUGUCAACUGAUUGGGAUCAGGAAUUUCCUUCUUCAAAAGUUAUCGGUCUCCCCAGAGUGGCCUCAGAUCACAGUCCCAUCCUUUUAUCGGUCACCAACCCUACGAAGAGGACGAGAUUGAUUUUCCGUUUUGAACAUGCCUGGCUUAACCACGAGGACUUUAGGUCCAAGCUGCCAGGAUGGUGGGAGGAGGGGCGUAAGCAUAGUUCAGCUGUUCUAACUUUCACCGCAAAAUUGAGACACUGCCGUAGAAGAAUUAUACAAUGGUGUACCCACGAAUUCUAUAGCAUUAGACGAGUUAAGAACAAACUCUUGGAAGACAUUCAGAACAUCGACAAAGAGAAAGAAACGAAUCUUUUAACCCAGGAGUUAGCCGUUACGAGGGAUGAGCUUAAGACAAAACUUGCCGCGGUGCUUAAAGACGAGGAAGUGCUAUGGAAAAGCAGAGCGAAACAACAUUGGCUACGGGAAGGUGAUAGCAAUACCAAAUUCUUCCAUGCCGUAGCCAACGGCCACAAAAGAACGAAUAGAAUUGACACUCUAGAUGAAGAAGGAAGGGUGUAUCAAUCGGAAGGCGAGAAGCAGAAGUUAAUCUUACAGAAGUUUAAGAAUCUCUUCACCCCUGAAGACUGGGCACCAUCCUCUUUUGGAGAUUGGAGUGAGCUCUUUUCAACAAGGCGGGUCGACUCUAGUAACCAUACGCACAUUACGAGACCUUUCGGUGUUGAAGAAGUGAAACAGGCUGUUUUCCAGCUAGGACGUGAUAAGGCGCCAGGGCCAGAUGGGUUCCCUCUGUGCUUCUACCAAAGCUUUUGGGAUACUCUUAAGGACGAUAUCAUGAACAUUUUCCACGAGAUGUUUGAGGGCACGCUAAACACCGNAGAUUCUCCUUGCUUGUUCUGUGAAUGGCCAGAUACGCAACCGACGCCGGGAGGCAAGGCUCUGGGCUGAACUGAGGACAUUCAUAUAGAAUCAAGUUAGCGAGACACGGAAAAAGGGGAACUCGCUCUCGCCUGCCUUCUUCGUCAUCCACCGUCAUUACCGUCACCCAUUCUCGCAGCAUUGGCAUGGAGCACAAGUCAAGGCUCGUCAGGGCAGGGAACUUACCUACGCCGCCCCCGCCCAAAUUUGUUACUGCGGGCAUAUUUUCCAUAUAUAGUCGUUCAAGAAAAGGGAGUUGCCCCAGCGGCGGGAGUGAGCUGCAUACAGGAAUAUUAUCAAGUUUGAUUUCAACGAGAUUUGGGAGGCACGAGCCAAUCCUAUUCAUCAUCCAGCUAGGAAACUUCCCGCCUCCAUAGCCUUGUAUUUCCAAUUUCUCUAGCUUUUGAUGUGGUUGAAGAUUUUCUAGCACGGUUUCCAUCUCUUCCGCCGGUUGUACAGUACUAUCCGUGCCUUCUUCCGCACUUAAAACGUUCCAUACCAACUUCAAAGACCGCAGGUUCUUCUCUAUCAAAUUUGCAGCCUUGGCAUCAACCGGACUCGUUACAUUUUCGAGACCCUUGAUCCACAGCUCGUCGACAAGCUUCAAGUGCUCUAGCUCAGAAAUGCUAGCACAGUGUUCGACGCGGUCUUGCUUGCCAACCACAAAAACCGGUAAUUUCUGCAAGCUAACUAACUUGCCGAUCCCUCGAGGCAUGCCCUUCAAUUCCGAGCAAUUGUUGUUUAGCAAGACUCUAAGUUUGGUCAGCUUUUGGAUCAUUUUAGGCAGCUCACAUAAUUUUUCACAACCACUGAUGUCGAGUUUCUCUAAAUGCAGAAGAUCACUUGACGAUGAGGGUAAUGGUAGUAGGGAAUAGCACCCAGAAAGGUUCAGAAUACGCAAGUUUUGAAGGCUUCCAAUGGAUUCAGGUAAUGUCACCAAAGAAUUUAGACAGUAUAGGUUUAAGUCAUGCAGGUUUUUGAGAUCACAUAACGAUGAGGGUAAUGAUUCUAGAGAAGAGCAGUUAGAAAGGUCCAGAAUACGCAAGUUUUGAAGGCUCCCAAUGGAUUCAGGUAAUGCUGCAAAAGAAUCUAGAUGUGAUAGGUCUAGGUAAUGCAGGUUUUUGAGGUGACAUAUAGGUUCAAGUGAUAUCGCCUUUUUGCACGAACUCAAAUUUAGUGCGUGCAAAUUCUGAAGGUUGCUAAUGGAGUCAAGUAUUGUCAGAGACCUGCACUCGCUUAAAUCUAAAAUCCGCAAAUUCGUAAGCCUUCCUAGAGAUUUGGGUAAUAUACGGAUCUCGCGGCACCAUGAAAGAUUCAAGGUUUGCAAGUUGCAGAGGCUGGUAAUUGGUUCAGGCAGUUCUUGUAUAUUGGUCGAUGAAAGGUUGAGGUAUCUUAAGAGUUUCAACUUACCG
This 22135-nucleotide long non-coding RNA is filed under the name Ananas comosus (pineapple). RNAcentral's name for it is "long non-coding RNA (ACOM_LNC007732)". Lineage: Eukaryota; Viridiplantae; Streptophyta; Magnoliopsida; Poales; Bromeliaceae. The record is from RNAcentral.